This 73-nucleotide transfer RNA is filed under the name Biomphalaria glabrata. It matches the Rfam family "tRNA". Rfam says of the family: Transfer RNA (tRNA) molecules are approximately 80 nucleotides in length. Lineage: Eukaryota; Metazoa; Mollusca; Gastropoda; Planorbidae. The record is from Rfam by way of RNAcentral.
ACUCAGUUAUCUCAGUCCGUAGAGUAUCAGACUUAAAAUCUGAGGUUCUAGGUUUCAAGUACCUAAUAAAAUA